This 251-nucleotide ribosomal RNA is filed under the name uncultured soil bacterium. Its description in RNAcentral is "partial 16S ribosomal RNA". It matches the Rfam family "Bacterial small subunit ribosomal RNA", at positions 26 to 278 of the family's 1533-position model. The record is from RNAcentral.
AGGACGAACGCUGGCGGCGUGCUUAACACAUGCAAGUCGAGCGGUAAGGCCUUUCGGGGUACACGAGCGGCGAACGGGUGAGUAACACGUGGGUGAUCUGCCCUGCACUCUGGGAUAAGCCUGGGAAACUGGGUCUAAUACCGGAUAUGACCUGCUCUCGCAUGGGGGUGGGUGGAAAGAUUUAUCGGUGCAGGAUGGGCCCGCGGCCUAUCAGUCUUGGUUGGUGGGGUAAUGGCCUACCGAAGGCGACG